This 253-nucleotide ribosomal RNA is filed under the name uncultured bacterium. RNAcentral describes it as "partial 16S ribosomal RNA". It matches the Rfam family "Bacterial small subunit ribosomal RNA", at positions 524 to 776 of the family's 1533-position model. The record is from RNAcentral.
UACGUAGGUGGCAAGCGUUGUCCGGAUUUACUGGGCGUAAAGAGCGCGCAGGCGGUCGUUCAAGUCGCGUGUGAAAGCCCCCGGCUCAACUGGGGAGGGUCACGCGAUACUGAUCGACUCGAAGGCAGGAGAGGGUAGUGGAAUUCCUGGUGUAGCGGUGAAAUGCGCAGAUAUCAGGAAGAACACCCGUGGCGAAGGCGGCUCUCUGGGACGGUACUGACGCUGAGACGCGAAAGCGUGGGGAGCGAACAGG